UUUAACUGGAGGAAGGUGGGGAUGACGUCAAGUCAUCAUGGCCCUUACGAGUAGGGCUACACACGUGCUACAAUGGCAGAUACAAAGAGAAGCGACCUCGCGAGAGCAAGCGGAACUCAUAAAGUCUGUCGUAGUCCGGAUUGGAGUCUGCAACUCGACUCCAUGAAGUCGGAAUCGCUAGUAAUCGUAGAUCAGAAUGCUACGGUGAAUACGUUCCCGGGCCUUGUACACACCGCCCGUCACACCAUGGGAGUGGGUUGCAAAAGAAGUAGGUAGCUUAACCUUCGGGAGGGCGCUUACCACUUUGUGAUUCAUGACUGGGGUGAAGUCGAUCAUGU
RNAcentral lists this ribosomal RNA (338 nucleotides) under swine manure bacterium M6.1. Its description in RNAcentral is "bacterial SSU rRNA". It matches the Rfam family "Bacterial small subunit ribosomal RNA", at positions 1158 to 1496 of the family's 1533-position model. The record is from RNAcentral.